This 496-nucleotide ribosomal RNA is filed under the name uncultured bacterium. RNAcentral's name for it is "partial 16S ribosomal RNA". It matches the Rfam family "Bacterial small subunit ribosomal RNA", at positions 29 to 507 of the family's 1533-position model. The record is from RNAcentral.
AUGAACGCUGGCGGCGUGCCUAAUACAUGCCAGUCGCGCGAACAGACGAGGAGCUUGCUCCUUCGACGUUAGCGGCGGACGGGUGAGUAACACGUAGGUAACCUACCUAUAAGACUGGGAUAACUUCGGGAAACCGGAGCUAAUACCGGAUAAUAUUUCGAACCGCAUGGUUCGAUAGUGAAAGAUGGCUUUGCUAUCACUUAUAGAUGGACCUGCGCCGUAUUAGCUAGUUGGUAAGGUAACGGCUUACCAAGGCAACGAUACGUAGCCGACCUGAGAGGGUGAUCGGCCACACUGGAACUGAGACACGGUCCAGACUCCUACGGGAGGCAGCAGUAGGGAAUCUUCCGCAAUGGGCGAAAGCCUGACGGAGCAACGCCGCGUGAGUGAUGAAGGUGUUCGGAUCGUAAAACUCUGUUAUUAGGGAAGAACAAACGUGUAAGUAACUGUGCACGUCUUGACGGUACCUAAUCAGAAAGCCACGGCUAACUACGUG